ACUUUAAUAUCCCAUUACAAAACUAACAAUACAGAAGGAAAAUUUAACGUGCCAGUGACAGAAGAUAAUUUCUGGAAGAAGUAAAAAGCAGCUGGUUGAAUUUAGAUGUCCCGACAUAGUAUCUAUUGUUCUUAAAAUCCAUUGUAGAGAUGAUUCAAGACAGGUGGAAAAGCUUCAACUCCCAUCUUUAAGCAUCAUUCAAGAUUUAUGGCAUUAUACUACAAAAUGUCAUUCACUAGGAUACGCAAAAGUAUUCCUUUCCUGUCAUUGUACCCGAUAUGGCUAAAACUUAUAUCACAUUCAGAUGCCUCAGGCUAUUAAUUAUGGUUAGAGAUCUCUGGGUUGAGUAGAAUUCUAGCAUGUUAUUCAUAGAAAGAACAACAGGAUUGGUAAUCAAGCAAUCGAAGAGCAACAAGCAUUCAAAACAGAGACAAAAAAUGUAAAAUUAAAAGAAGCGGGUCUCAAACGUAGCACUUGAAAUCUAAAAUAUCAUAGAAAGUAAAGGGUCAAUUUCACUUUCAACAUCCCAUAUGAAGAUCUUAUGAUCGGAAUGCAGUGUUGUUUAAAGAACCAAUAUAUGGAAUCUCAUAUAAAUCAGCAAUGCAAAUACAAAUGCCCAAAACAAAUCUAAAACAUUCCAAAUAUUGUUCUAGAAGCACAAAUUCUUCAUCAUAACAACAACAACAACAAAGCCUUUUCCCACUAAGUGGGGUCGGCUAUAUGAAUCCUAGAACGCCAUUGCGCUCGGUUUUGCACAUGUCCAAACCCAUUUUGUGUACGUGUUGAUGCUUCACCGCCCAACAUUCUGUGCCAUACAUCAUCGCCGGCCUUAUUGCCGUCCUAUAAAAUUUUCCCUUGAGCUUUAGUGGCCUACGACGGUCACACAACACACCGGAUGCGCUCUUCCACUUCAUCCAUCCAGCUUGUAUUCUAUGGUUGAGAUCUCCAUCUAAUUCUCCGUUCUUUUGCAAGAUAGAUCCUAGGUAGCGAAAACGGUCACUCUUUGGUAUUACCUGAUCUCCGAUCCUCGCCCCUAACUCAUUUUGGCCUCCAUUUGCACUGAGCUUGCACUCCAUAUAUUCUGUCUUUGAUCGGCUUAGGCGAAGACCUUUAGAUUCCAACACUUCUCUCCAAAGGUUAAGCUUCGCAUUUACCCCUCCUGAGUUUCAUCUAUCAACACUAUAUCAUUUGCGAGAAUCAUACACCAAGGAAUAUCAUCUUGAAUAUGUCCUGUUAACUCAUCCAUUACCAACGCAAAAGGGUAAGGACUUAAGGAUUGUUGAUGCACAAAAUCAGUGAGGACUUUGGUAUAACAGAAAGUAUUAAGUUAUUGCUCUGGUCAUUAGUGUGGAUAAGUAUGUAAAAGGAUAAAGACAGGAAAGCAAACAUAAGAUGUACGUGGUUCACCCAGAUUGGCUACGUCCACGGAGUAGAUGAGUUCUUAUUAAUUGUGAAGGGUUACACAAGUACAUAGGUUCAAGCUCUCCUUUAAUGAGUACAAAUGAAUGAUUUAGUACAAAUGACAUUAGGAAAUAUUGUGGGAGAAUGAUCUCGUAAUCACGAAACUUCUAAGUACCAAAGUGUGGUAUCGUUUUCACUUGCCUUAUCUGUCUCAUAGGUAGAUGUGGCAUCUUCUCUGGAAGUACUCUUCCUCCAUCCAGGGGUGGUAUCUUUAACUAGUGGAGAUGCAUAAGGUAAUGUAUCAAUUUCACUUGAAGCUUACUUGUAGUUUCAGGCUUGGUCAAGUGCGAUACAAACCAUGUAGUAGGAGUCCCCCAAGUCGCCGAACUAGGGGAUUUGCUGAAAGAUGUGACAGACAAGGUAAGCAAUCAGAGCUUCAAGCAAUCAGUCCCAGAUCAGAAGUUUGAUUUCGAGUUCCGGCUGAUUGUUCUCAUUUUCCCUAUCUUGCAGGCAACAUGAAUGAUAAAGAGAAGAAAAGGAGAAUAGAUGAUAUGAGAUACUUUUGCUUUUGAAGAAGUAACUUUCCACAGGCUUAUUCUUGAACUGGGCGGUAGGGUUUUUUGGUUUCCUUCAGAGUAUAAGGCCGACUGAAGAAUUUGAGGGUCAAAACAAGUCCAUCAAAUCUAGAGUACGUUCGACCCUGCUGAUAUGAGAUACUUUUACUGUUGAUAAAGUAGUGGAUGUAUCGGCACGCGUUCUGUUACGCUUGUCUCCACAUGCUUCUUUGUAUCCUUUUCACUUUCCCUAUCGGUUCUUCAGACAGAUGUGGUAUCUUCUCUAGAAGCAUAAGAUGUUGAAGAUGAGUACUCGAGAGUAAUGCCAGGUAAGUAAUCAGGUAAGGGGUUCCAGGCAGUCAGUUCCUGACUGGAAGCUUGAUUCCAAGUGCUGAUUGAUUGCUCUCUUUCUCCUUGUCUUGCAGGUAAGAACAAGGCCAAAGGAAAAGACAGGGAAAAAGCAUGAUAUGGGAUACCCUUGCUUUUAACCCUAAUGAUAUGAGAUAUUCUUGCUCUGGUGUAGCUUGUUUACAGAGGUAUUAUCGGGGGGAAAGAAAGCUGAGUAUUUCGAGAGGCUUCGUUGGGAGUGCCCUCUCAGAUAUGAGGAAGGGUUAAGCAUUUUGCAGGUCUGCCUGUCCGUUGAGGAUGGAGGUCGACAUAUAUAGGAGUCUCCCUAACAACAAGUAGUAAUGCUAUUCCUUUACCUUGCUUGGUCAUAGCAUGGUAGUGGGAGCUGCCAGCUUCACGUGUGUCAGAGCACUUUGAAAAAGUGGUCUGUGGUAUCUGGAAAGCUGAUGUUACGUGUGAAGAUUACAGACAAGCUUUAUCCAAGAAGAUCUGGCUCCCGAAGUUGAGAAAGCGGUGCCUCUUCGGUUUUCGAACAAGCAAUUCUGUCGGGGAUUUGGCUCUUGAGAUUCGGAGAAUGGUGCCUCUUCAAUUUUUGAGAGAGCAAUCCUGCUAGGAGUUUGGCUCUCGAGAUUCGGAGAGCGGUGUCUCUUCGGUUUUUGAGAAAUUAAUCAUGUUGGGAGUCUGGCUCUCGAGAUUCGGAGAACGAUGCCUCUUCGAUUUUGGAGCAAGCAAUCUUGUUGGGAGUGUUUUCUCGAAAGUGAGUAAAGGUAGGGCAUGUUUGCUAGUCUACCUUGCCACGGAGCACAGAGGUUGACACACAGAGGUUGACACACAGGGACUUUCCAAAGAUCUUGAUUUGUCCGACCUUUUCUUUCUUCAACACCUUUGAAAAUGUCUGGCCCCUCCGACCGUCGUUUUGACUUGAACCUUGUUGAAGAGGCAGCCAUGCCUUCUCCAGACAACAUAUGGCGCCCAUCCUUCUUAUCCCCUACUGGUCCUCUUACCGUUGGAGAUUCCGUGAUGAAGAAUGAUAUGACCGCUGCGGUGGUGGCCAGGAACCUUCUCACUCCCAAAGAUAACAGAUUAGUUUCCAAACGGUCUGAUGAAUUGGCUGUUAAAGAUUCUCUGGCUCUGAGUAUUCAGUGUGCAGGUUCUGUGUCUAAUAUGGCCUAACGCCUAUUUGCUCGAAUCCGCCAAGUUGAAUCAUUGGCGGCUGAAGUGAUGAGUCUCAAACAGGAGAUUAGAUGGCUCAAGCAUGAGAAUAAACAGUUGCACCGGCUCGCACAUAACUAUGCUACAAACAUGAAGAGGAAACUUGACCAGAUGAAAGAAUCUAAUGGUCAGGUUUUACUUGAUCAUCAGCGGUUUGUGGGUUUGUUCCAAAGACAUUUAUUGCCUUCGUCUUCUGGGGCUGUACAACAUAAUGAAGUUCCAAAUGAUCAACCUCCGAUGCCUCUUCCUUCUAGGGUUCUGUCCAGUACUGAGGCUUCGAAUGAUCCCCUCCGAUGCCUUCUCUUUCUGGGGCUCUACCGACUGCUGAGACUUCUCCUAAGCAACAUUUGUGAAGGCUCCCUCUUGUUUGUUUAUUUUGACUCAUGUAAAUGUACAUAUUUGUAACUUAUCAGAGAUAUCAAUAAAUAAGCUUUCAUUCAUUUCCAACGUAUUGUGCUAAAUACACCAAAGCUUUCUUCACUGAGUGGGGUCGGCUAUAUGAAUCUUAGAACCGCCAUUAUGCUCGGUCCUGUGUCAUGUCCUUCGUUAGAUCCAAAUACUCUAAGUCUUUUCUUAGAGUCUCUUCCAAAGUUUUCCUAGGUCUUCCUCUACCCCUUCGGCCCUGAACCUCUGUCCCGUAGUCGUAUCUUCUAACCGGAGCAUUAGUAGGCCUUCUUUGCACAUGUCCAAACCACCGUAACCGAUUUUCUCUCAACUUUCCUACAAUUUCGGCUACUCCUACUUUUCCUCGGAUAUCCUUAUUCUUAAUCUUAUCAUUUCUCGUGUGCCUACACAUCAAACGAAGCAUCCUCAUCUCCGCUACACCCAUUUUGUGUACGUGUUGAUGCUUCACCGCCCAACAUUCUGUGCCAUACAGCAUCGUUGGCCUUAUUGCAGUCCUAUAAAAUUUUCCCUUGAGCUUCAGUGGCAUACGGCGGUUACACAACACGCCGGAUGCACUCUUCCACUUCAUCCAUCCAGCUUGUAUUCUAUGGUUGAGAUCUCCAUCUAAUUCUCCGUUCUUUUGCAAGAUAGAUCCUAAGUAACGAAAACGAUCGCUCUUUGGUAUUUCCUGAUCUCUGAUCCUCACCCCUAACUCAUUUUGGCCUCCAUUUGCACUGAACUUGCACUCCAUAUAUUCUGUCUUUGAUCGGCUUAGGCGAAGACCUUUAGAUUCCAACACUUAUCUCCAAAGGUUAAGCUUCGCAUUUUCCCCUUCCUGAGUUUCAUCUAUCAACACUAUAUCGUCUGCGAAAAGCAUACACCAAGGAAUAUCAUCUUGAAUAUGUCCUGUUAACUCAUCCAUUACCAACGCAAAAAGGUAAGGACUUAAAGAUGAGCCUUGAUGUAAUCCUACAGUUAUGGGGAAGAUUUCGGUUUG
RNAcentral lists this long non-coding RNA (4896 nucleotides) under Malus domestica (apple). RNAcentral's name for it is "long non-coding RNA (MDOM_LNC017490)". Lineage: Eukaryota; Viridiplantae; Streptophyta; Magnoliopsida; Rosales; Rosaceae. The record is from RNAcentral.